Molecule: long non-coding RNA, 1405 nt
Filed under: Pandoravirus celtis
Description: hypothetical ncRNA
Source: RNAcentral
GCCGCUGGUCCGCCGCUGACGGCCGCACACGGCGAAUGUAGCGAGCCACGCGCAAAUCGCCGGCGGCGACGGCCUCGCUAAAGGCCCGACGCGCUGCAGCGUCGGCAUCGGCAGUGGCCAGGAUGAGGUCGGCCAUAUCGGUGCGCCGAGCCAGCAGGGCCAAUGAGAGGGCUGAAACUCGGUUUUGCCAAAGGGGUGACCACGCCUCGGCUGUCGCCACUGGGAACCCGCGCUCGCAUAGCCAGCGCACGCAUUCGGCGUGACCGCCAACGACCGCAGUGGCGACCGCAUUCGAGCCGCGCACGACUACAUCCGGUGCAGCGGGUGUGCCCCACAUACGCUCCAAAAUGCGGUUGUGUCCACUGCCGGCGGCGGCCUCGACAAUGACGGUCCACAUGUGCGCCCAACGACCAUCGGUGUAAAUGUCCACUAUGGCCGACGUCCUUGCGUCAAAGCAGCCCAACGCAUCGAGCAGAUCGAUGCGCCCGGCUUUGACAGACGCGCGCGCGACAUUGGCGACGACCCGUCCUGCGAUGCAAGAGGAUAGGCCUGUGUGUGUGGCAGGGUUGGUCAUGAUGUUUGCUGCCGCGUCGAGACGCCCUGCGCGGAUGAGAUCGUUGACAAUCUGCGGCUGCACGGCCUCGGCGAGCCGACGCGCAAUACUCUGGGCAACGUCAACAUCGCCGCCUAGACGACAUGUGCGCUCCUCGAUGUCGAGUCGCACCAACGACUCGGCGCGUUCGAUGUCUGGCGGCGGUUCAUCAUUCCAGCACAGCCACUUGGACAGGCGCGCCCACCCUCCACCCAACUCCUCGCAGCGCCGUACGGUCGCCGCCUUUGCCUCGGGGGGUGUGUGUCUCAAUAUCUCGUGGAGGCGACCCAAUGCUUGCCUUGCAUACGACGUGAUCGGCGCUUCACGACCGACGAGGAGCACGACGGAUACCAUUGCGCACAAGAGUGGAUCUUGUGUUUCGAGGGCGCUCACGCGCGCGUCUUCCCAUGGUCGCACCCUGCCGGGUAUGCUGACAUGCUCGACGAUCCAGGCAACUACGUGAUGGUUGCCCCUCAAUCCUGCCUCGCUGAGGCAUAAGGGCCAGUUGAUUGGCGGCGCCGACGCCGGCCGAUGGGCCAUGGCGUAUUCGAGACCGCCCAUGUCGCCCGCAGCACACAUGCCCUCGACGGUGGCGUCGGCAUAGAAACGCGCAGCAAGAUCGGCCGAUGUCAGAGCGUGAAAGCAGCGAGCGGCACAGAGGCACGCGUAGAGGUCGCGGUCGGAUGGACAGCGCAAGAGCACCUCGCGCCACAAUUCGGGCGGCAGUGUGUCCCAUGGUGGGGCAUGGCUCUCGCCCAUUCCCAACGUCAUCGCCGUCGUCAUCAGUUAAAAAUAAAGGAUUGUAAACUUUUG